Molecule: long non-coding RNA, 5887 nt
Organism: Bombus terrestris (buff-tailed bumblebee)
Lineage: Eukaryota; Metazoa; Arthropoda; Insecta; Hymenoptera; Apidae
Exons: 2
Source: RefSeq, a predicted model, not a curated record
UAGCCGAAAGGUGAAACGCGUCUAGCUGUACUCUUAGAUUAUCGGAUAGUUGGUUCGUUGGAUUCGCGAGGCGCGAUCGAUGCGCGGCGAACGCGUGGUACACGCGCGAUUAUGCCGUUCGCUCCAUAUCGAGUAACCACCACCGGACACCGUUGAAACGUCGACGGACUCGCGCGACAGCAGCGACGGAAUAACCGCAAACGGGUAGAACCGACGCGAGUCACCAAAAACCCGUUUCGCCGGUUUACCGCGCCAACAGCUGACAGCGAUAGCGUUCGCGUAAAGCAGCGUUUAUGUUAUCCCUCGCUAUACGGCACGGAUACGACACGGUACCGUUCCGACGAACAUUCUUGCCGCCGAUAACACAGGGGUGUUCGCUUAUCCGUCGUAGCGGACGGUAUCGGCGUUUUAAACGAGACGAAAAAAAUCGACCCCGAGUCUGAACGCGCACGAGCGACAUUUUACCGCUCCUUUGUUUCUUUUCCUAUUAUUUUCCUAUGAAAAACUGCGCAAAGACAAACCAGUACGUGCAUCGUACGCAGAAGGAUCGCGCGGUAAAACGUCGCUUUCGUCUUUCCCUCGGGAAUACGUACGUUUACGCGCGUUUACGUAUUUCCACGACUCUAGCCAGAUCGUCGCUCGCCAGAGUCGUGGAUCAACGACCGUGGCGACCGCGUCGAAAGGGACUGCGAGAAGAGAGUGUCGCGAAAGAAGGUCAAGGGGAAACGUCAAGGGGCCGAUGAAUCGACAAACGGGACGAUUCGUCUCGCGCGUUCCACGCCUGGUUUCUGCAGGGUUCGAUACGUCGCCUCGACGUCACAAUGCGUUGACGCGCGAACGUUAAACCGACGAGACAGGAGGAAGCUGGAAACGGCGAGAACACGGCACGAUAAGCGGGAACGUGCACGCGCGACGACCCGCACCAAGGAAUUCCACGCGAGUGGAUUUCAGUGAAUAGAAAGUUUACUCUAAAACGCAACUGCCGCUACAUGUACAACGGCGGUCAAUCAUUGCUAUGCCGAUCACGGCUGUCUCAUUCGCGCUUCGCGAGUAGCUUGUCGAGGACGUCGAUCUUACGACGUUCGAUACUCGAGCGUUCGUUCCCAGCCGCGUCUAUACGGCAUCGACGGAGGUACGAUCGAUGCGCGUGGCUCUGUCUUUCGUCUCGGCCGACAUCAGCCUCUGAACUACGCGUCCAGCGUGCAAAUCCUCGCGAGCAGAAACAUCGGUUCCUGAAAGCUACGACACCAGCUCCGUCCGACGCAGAACGAAACUCGUUGCUCAAACGCGCCCGACGCGCUCGCCGCGUACGUACGCCUUUCUAAGAAGCUUUCCGCUUUCCUAGUUGCUUUCACCGACUACGAACGCCGAGUCGUCGUCUCGCUACUCUCACCACAGCGAUCCUCUCUCCCUAUCGGUUCUCCACCUUUUCCCGUUUUCUUCUAUCUCUUCGCUUUUCGCGUCAUUUCCGACGCUUGGAAUACGUGGCCGACACUAGCCAGAGAACGAGCACAGAGACGAGACGACGGCUCGUGAGAGACGGUACGGCACGGUUUGAUCCGCGCGUCGCUGAUUCGAAACCGUUCGUCGAGUUCGCCGUGGCACGGCGGCGAAUCAGUCGGGGCUGACACACAUUCGCCCUGGCAAAAGAGCUAUUCUGCUAUGAACGCUGCUCCCUGGGUCGUCGACCUGCCUUCUGUUGCUUCCUCUUCCACCACCUUCCACCUCCUCCACUCUCCUUUCUCUUCUACGCCGCUCUACGCUUUCCUCUCCUCUCCUCUCCUCUCCUCUCCUCUCCGCCUCCUCUCCGCGCGUUUCCUCCACGCUCCUCGGUUCUUUUCUUAUUUUCCACGCGUUUCCCUCCUUUCUCUUUUGUCGCGCGGUGUUGGCCGGCCUCGUCCUUUGCCGGCUUUUUUUCCGCUUCGGCUCGAUCCACCGCUUCUCCGUCCUGCCACAUCCUACUCUGCUUUCUUCCGUUUCUCUCCGAUCUCUGCGAUUCUAGUUUUUUUCCGCCGAUCGAUCCGCUCGGUCGUUCGCUUCGCGGAAAUUCCGAAGCGAAACGAACGACGAUUUCAAGAUCGAGGCGAAUCGCGCACCGUCUUCCUUCCGGAUCGGACAGGAAAACGCGUUUUUAUCCUCUCCGGUGUCUGUCCGACGUGGUCGAUGCGUCCACCACCCUAGUCGGAAAUCGGAUUCGAGCGCGAACCGUUCGCGGUUUCGGAAUCACGAGUUUCGCGACGAUAUUCGAUCCCCUGAUGGGCUCCAACGGCGGACCUCGAAUAUCGUUCGAGUCUCUUUCGUCCAAGAUGGGUUCGCGUUCGAAAAAUUGCCAGCGCGCGUUUCUAAUUUCAAGUUGUUCGCGCUACGCUCUUCUUCUCCUUUCGUCCGUGUCCGCCUCUCUCUCUCUCUCUCUUUCUACCCCUCCCUUCUCUUCCUUCUCUUCCUCUUCCUCGCCGUCCGGCACGUCGUACUUGCUACACCGUUUCCUCGUUCAGGGUGUUGCCCAAACACAAUACGUUUUCGCAAUGCGCGCGCGAUAUUACGAUGUCCGUUGCAUCCACGUCAUUGUUCGCGUUCGCGAUGCGUAACGCACCACGAGAGUGGUUCGUGGUUUUUCGUUUCCAUCCUUCUCUUCGUCGUCCGACACGCGAUCGUCCCUCGAUCCUCCGUUGCAAACUCUACCCUACUGUUGUCGCCAGGCAAAAACCAGUCGAUUCCAAAGGUGACGAUAUUUGCGAGAAAACAAUGCCAGUUCGAUCGAACGUGUAUGUCCCUCGAACCUAUAUACUCCAGACUUUAUCGCGCAAACUUGUUGCAACCAUGCUCGAUCACGAGUCGUAUACGUUUAGCGCACGACGUUCCUUCGCAAAUGUUGCUUGUAAAAAGAAAAAGAGAGAGAGAGAAACAAAGUUUGCAAACAAUCUGCAAAGUUGUUACAGGCGCCGCGAAAAGCUUUAAAAGUAUUCAAGGUAUCAGAAUUCGACGAUACAGAGCACGAAAUAACUGCGUGUAAUUGUAUCGUCGUUUGAAAUUUUUAAUUGUCUAGUAACGAAAUGACAAUUACAUUUCUCUUAAUAUUCGUUGCAAAGGGAUAUAGAAGCACGACGCCGACGAUUAUCAUUGACGAUCAACGUUAACGACGAAAGUAACGAACGAAAUGUAAACAAAUAGAACUUUCGUUUCUCGAAUCGAUUUAUUUUUAAAUUAUGCUCGAGAACUUGUAAACGUUUUCAGCAACCUGAAAUUAGAACGGAACGUCUGAUUUCGAGCAUCGGUCGUUGAGCGAGAUAACGAACGCUGAUCCGUUUUGAACGCGCGAGAUCGAUUCUUUGCGCCGUGGCUGUUGCCGCCGCUCGGCUAUCCGGUCGACGCAACGCGCCCUCGUCCAUUAUUACGUUCGUUGUCGCACGUUUCGAAUCUUUUUUCAGCAACUUUGCGACGAAAUCUUAAUUGGAAGAAAUUCGCGCGAUGGAAUUUUCCCUGCCGCUUUUUGUCGCGGCGAAGAUUAAUUUGUCAGAACUGGUAGACCGGAGAUUACGCUGCUCCUCCAAAACGAAACAGUGUAAAUUCGGAUUAACCUAAACCGAUUCACGUCACGCUCGAUUCCCCCUUUCUCGUCUACGGUGCGAGACCGAAACGAUCGUGCCCGCAACGGGAUGUUCGCUUCGACACUCAUCGUAUUGGCGGCUGUUUCGUCGAAUUCGGCGAAAGGUCGCGCCGAUUACGCCUUCGAAAGCAACGAAUUCGAUCGCGAAUCCGAAAACGAACAUUAUCGAUCUCGUUCCUCUUCGCGAGACUCGAAUAUUUCAACGAAUUUUCUGGGUUAAGGUGUACUCGAGGUAAAACGAGCUUCGUCUUCUGGCACACGGCCGAAAGGUGUGGAUUUUCCAACCGCGUAACCGUCGUUUUUAGUGUCAUCGGUCGAAAUACGCGACCCUUGCUUCUUCCUCCUUCCUUCUCUCGUUCCUAUUUCCUUUUACUGGCUUUCGUUUAAAAGCGCAUCUUUUCAACAAGCUCGACAACCGUAACAACGAUCGAUUACCAAUCGUCAUCAACGAAACGAAAAGACGCGAACGAGAAGGAACGAACGGGCAAACGAUGGCACGCGGCUGCCACAUAUUCAUUUCGUCAACCGUCGAUCGAUCGAUUUGUUCAAAGUUUCUCGCAGCCGCCGGCAUUCUCGCGAACGAAACGCUAGUUUUCCAGUUCAGUUUACCGAUCUAUCGUAACGAUUCGUCUUGGUAAAGUACAAAAGAUGGCGAUACUACAGAAAGAAAAUCAUAACCGGCAAAGGAAAGAGGUCAUUUCCCUUUUUCAAAGUGCUUUUUUCUUCGACGAAUCGAAAGCGGUGGUCGAUUACGAAGUUUCGAAAGAAGUAUUGGACGAUUAGGCAUACUUUUGAUUUCCUUCUCCGAAGGCAUGCUACUUAUACCUAUAACGCGAUAGAGUAAAAACGAAAGACGUGGAGUGUUCGUUGAUUCGGUUCGAAGACGGAAGAAGGUUCGGACUCUGUCAUUUUGCACGCUAUGAUUUAUUUACCACGGCCGACACUCGUGUCUUCUUCCUGCUUUCCCUCCUCGACGCCCUUACCAUUCGACGGUUCGCAUCCGUAAGGCUUCGCGAAGCUCCAGAAACCGUCGAAUUUUCGAGAGUUUGCCACGAUGCUAUAAAUUGCCGAUUUCAAGUUCGCUCGACGAACGAUCGCGAGAUUUUAAACACGUAACACGUCGUCGAACGUGUAAAGGCGAGCAUCCAAACGGUCGGCUGCGUAGGCAAAUCGGCGGGGCAAGAGAGGGAGGGAGGGAGCAGAGAAAGAGAAAGAGAAAGAGAGAGAGAGAGAGAGAACUGCUUAUUCGUUGGAACACAAGAUCGGGGUCGAAGAAGACGGGGGUGGGCAGCAGCCAGCUGAUUCGGGAGAGUUCGUGAACGACCGUAAUCGAAACGCGAGGGAACGAAAGAGGCGAGGUAGCGCAGCAGCGCACGUCCGAUGCAGUCUGCCGCGACCACCGGGAAACCAGCUGACUGGUCGGUUCGGUCGCGUUCGUUGAAUCGUUCGGCAGUCUUCGGAUCUUUGUUCGUCUCCGUGCACGAGGCGGCUACCGGCAAGCGACAAACCUUUCCGUCAGUCGUCAGUCGCCGUUUCGACACUGUCGAAGGGUAAUGUGCGCGUGUGUCUAUUACCUCUUUGACACUAUCAGCGUUAACUUUGUUGCUUGAAUCGCGCGAUCGGCCAUCUCGUUACUGCAUCGGUCGACCGUAGACGGUCGAUCGGAACGCUCGUCGUUCCGAGAGAUACAAGAGAGAACGAAAGAACGCGAUUAGCGUCGUCGCGCAGUCUGCUCGUUACCGGCCUCCUCGUUCGCGUCGUUGUCGCGUAGUCGGAGGAGAAGACGCGAGAGAAAUCGUUGGCAAGGAUACGAAUUUUGUGGAACGAGAGCGUGAUUUUGGUUCCGUGCUCGUCUGCUCGGUCGCGACGACGAGCAACUCUCGCGGUUGCGAUCCAAGGAAAAAGAACGGAUCUUGUGUUUUAAAACAAAGGAAAGCGGAGGAAAAGGUACGGCUAGAGAGGACGAAGAAAGGAAAGGAAAGGAAGAGAAGAAGGAAGGAAGGAAGGAAGAAGGGAAGAAGAAAAAGAAGGAGAAACGACUGUAAGCGAAGCGCUAUGAAAUCCGAUCGGUACGAUAGGUCGGUAUUUCCGAGCGGAAAGGACACGAUGGUAUCGCGUAACGGAUAGCUGGUUCGCGCGACACACACGUAUCGCCAGUUCACCGUCGAAAUCGUCGAUUUCCACCGGCCGGAUCGGAAAUCCAGUUCCCUUGGCAUUUGGAUUUACGCGAAGAUUUCGAGCGUGAAAGCCGAAUUGCCGUGGCUCGACAUUGCUCGGGUG